UACGUAGGGUGCGAGCGUUAAUCGGAAUUACUGGGCGUAAAGCGUGCGCAGGCGGCUUUGCAAGACAGAUGUGAAAUCCCCGGGCUCAACCUGGGAACUGCAUUUGUGACUGCAAGGCUAGAGUACGGCAGAGGGGGUUGGAAUUCCGCGUGUAGCAGUGAAAUGCGUAGAUAUGCGGAGGAACACCAAUGGCGAAGGCAAUCCCCUGGGCCUGUACUGACGCUCAUGCACGAAAGCGUGGGGAGCAAACAGG
RNAcentral lists this ribosomal RNA (253 nucleotides) under uncultured bacterium. RNAcentral's name for it is "partial 16S ribosomal RNA". It matches the Rfam family "Bacterial small subunit ribosomal RNA", at positions 524 to 776 of the family's 1533-position model. The record is from RNAcentral.